AUUGAACGCUGGCGGCAGGCCUAACACAUGCAAGUCGAGCGGCAGCGGGAAAGUAGCUUGCUACUUUUGCCGGCGAGCGGCGGACGGGUGAGUAAUGCCUGGGAAAUUGCCCAGUCGAGGGGGAUAACAGUUGGAAACGACUGCUAAUACCGCAUACGCCCUACGGGGGAAAGCAGGGGACCUUCGGGCCUUGCGCGAUUGGAUAUGCCCAGGUGGGAUUAGCUAGUUGGUGAGGUAAUGGCUCACCAAGGCGACGAUCCCUAGCUGGUCUGAGAGGAUGAUCAGCCACACUGGAACGGAGACAAGGUCCAGACUCCUACGGGAGGCAGCAGUGGGGAAUAUUGCACAAUGGGGGAAACCCUGAUGCAGCCAUGCCGCGUGUGUGAAGAAGGCCUUCGGGUUGUAAAGCACUUUCAGCGAGGAGGAAAGGUUGAUGCCUAAUACGUAUCAACUGUGACGCUACUCGCAGAAGAAGCACCGGCUAACUCCGUGCCAGCCGCCGCCGUAA
This 508-nucleotide ribosomal RNA is filed under the name uncultured bacterium. Its description in RNAcentral is "partial 16S ribosomal RNA". It matches the Rfam family "Bacterial small subunit ribosomal RNA", at positions 30 to 523 of the family's 1533-position model. The record is from RNAcentral.